AUAUUGGACAAUGGGGGCAACCCUGAUCCAGCCAUGCCGCGUGUGUGAAGAAGUUCUUCGGAUUGUAAAGCACUUUAAGUUGGGAGGAAGGGCUUUAGGCGAAUACCCUGAAGUUUUGACUUUACCAACAUAAUAAGCACCGGCUAACUCUGUUCCAGCAGCCGCGGUAAUACAGAGUGUGCAAGCGUUAUGAGGAAUUACUGGGCGUAAAGCGCGCGUAGGUGGUUCAGUAAGAUGGGUGUGAAAUCCCCGGGCUUAACCUGGGAACUGCUUUCAUAACUGCUGAGCUAGAGUACGGUAGAGGGUAGUGGAAUUUCCUGUGUAGCGGUGAAAUGCGUAGAUAUAGGAAGGAACACCAGUGGCGAAGGCGACUACCUGGACUGAUACUGACACUGAGGUGCGAAAGCGUGGGGAGCAAAC
Molecule: ribosomal RNA, 420 nt
Filed under: uncultured bacterium
Lineage: Bacteria
Description: partial 16S ribosomal RNA
Rfam family: Bacterial small subunit ribosomal RNA
Source: RNAcentral